CCUGUCUCUCUACCACUGAGACUGUAGUUAGGCCGAACUUAGUUUAACAGAUAUUUCACACUUUCACAUACUAACUACCAAAAUUGUAGAUAUAAAAGUGAAAUUAUUUUUUGUUUUCUAUUUCCGACAGUACUUUAGUAUACUACUUUUUGGUUAAUGAAAUCUUAUUUAAACAUGGCAAUAUAUCUAUAUUGUACACCAUUAGUCAUGAACUAACAGGGUAUUUGUAAACAUUUUAAAGGAAUACCUUUUUGGUCCAGUGGUCUUCAUACCACAGUCACAUAACGUUAUGUCGAAGAUUGAUGAGUCGAAUGUAUGGUUGUCACGGAGUAAAUGCUAGCUAACUGCGUAUUUCUUUUUAGCCAUCAUUUUCCGGAUGUGUCCACCCUCGGAUAACUCGAAGUACGUAGUCCCUUCGUCUUCAACAGAACGGUGUUUAACUACGGCUGUAUCCCCAUGUGUUCAUUACAUUUUUAGUUUAUGGAGUUGUUUUAACAAUGCUAUCAACCCGAGCUUUUGUGGUUUUCCAUGUUUUUACCAUAAAUAACAUGCGAUGUAUAUUCACAAAUCUUGUAUAUGACAGGUAGCCGUUGUACAAAGUGAUCUUAGCACCAAGGUGACCGUAACUCCCAUACCUUAACAUAGACCCCCCAUGCCUUAAUAUAGAAGGUUGUUGUGUACAACGGCACCCUGAUUAAUUUGUAAGUGUGAAAAUGAAUUACUGUAUACAUUUUGGAGGCAUUUAUAUAAUCAAAUCAACUGAUUUGUACAUCUGAUCUGAAACUUCUUGUCCACUACGCACUGUUCUCUGGGUGUUUUUGUGACCUGGUAACUAUUCAUAAACAGCUCGAACUCCGUUUCUAAGCCUUAUACAAUAAGCAUGUACAUCUGGUUAUCUCUACCUCGAAAUCUGUUUUCUCGACGUUCUCCAUACGUUCCUACCUUCCUCCAUAGCACUGAGAUAUGAAAAGAAUGAUUGCAAAUACCUCCUUUGAUCGGCAAUAAAAAAUGAACAUAAACGUUA
Molecule: long non-coding RNA, 1024 nt
Organism: Haliotis rubra (blacklip abalone)
Lineage: Eukaryota; Metazoa; Mollusca; Gastropoda; Lepetellida; Haliotidae
Exons: 2
Source: RefSeq, a predicted model, not a curated record